UGUCCCCAACAUAUCCCCAAUGUGUCCCCAAUAUAUCCCCAAUGUGCCCCCACUGUUUCCCCUAUUGUGUCCCCAAUAUAUCCCCAAUGUGUCCCCAAUGUGCCCCCAUUGUGUCCCCAAGGUGUCCCCAGUAUAUCCCCAAUGUGUCCCCAUGUGCUCAGCCCACGCAGUCGUUCUGUUCCCAAUUAAUUUGCCCCUCAUUUGGUUCAUUUCGUGCUCUGUUAAUUACCGUGCUGGGGUCGGUCACGCAGCGUUCGGUCUCUAAUUACAGAGCUGUGCUCGUUAAAUCUCU
Molecule: long non-coding RNA, 292 nt
Filed under: Gallus gallus (chicken)
Lineage: Eukaryota; Metazoa; Chordata; Aves; Galliformes; Phasianidae
Source: RNAcentral